GGGACCGGGCAAAGCCCGCGGGGACCCAGUCCAGCCUCGGGGAAAGUGCUCCGGGCUGGAGAACAGAGGAAAGCCCCGCAGGAACCGAACCCACCCUGAGACCAUCCCGGGCUGGAGAACCGGGCAAUGCCCACGGGGACUGAACCCAGGCUCAGGGAAAGUGUUCCGGGCUGGAGAACCGGGCAGUGCCCCUGGGGACCAAAGCCAGCCCCAGUGAGACCACCCCGGGCUGGAGGGCUGGGCAGUGCCUGCAGGAACCAAACCCACCCUGAGACCAUCCUGGGCUGGAGAACAGGCAAAGCCUGCAGGAACUGAACCCAGGCUCGGGGAAAGUGUUCCAGGCUGGAGGGCUGGGCAAUGCCUGCAGGAACUGAAUCCAGCCUGAGACCAUCCCAGGCCAGAGAAUUGGGCAAUGCCCGCAGGUACCGAGCCCACCCUCUGGGAGCAGGAAAACUUUCCAGCAGAGGCAGAGGUAAUUUUACCUGGGCACAUCCCAAGUCAGGACCUGUUGGCCAGCGACAGGAUGCCAAAACAGGCUCUGGCGCUGCAGGAAGAGAACACAAAGUCCCAGCAAAGUUCCAGACCUGCCCUGUUGCACCUCCCUGGAAGCUCCAGCUGAAGAUUGACAGCACUGCUUCAUCCAGGCCCCCAAAAGGAGCAACACUGGCCAUGGCAGAGUGACUCAGUCCUGAUGGAUGAAUGGAACGUCCAAGCAUUUGCAGGUCCCGUGCUUGGGGAUUAGGGUUAUGUUUAGGGUUAGGGUUAAGUGACCCUAAAACCCCAUUUGUGACCCCAAACCAGCUCCAUAAUUGACCCCCAAACCCCAGUAGUGACCCAGAAGUGAUCAAUAAGCAACCCUAAAACCCCAUAAGUGCCCCCAGAACUGCCCCAUAAGUGACCCCCAAACCCCAUAAGUGACCCCAAUUCACCUUUCACUAUCAGGUCCCUCCCCCUCGAUGGUCAGGGCCACCAUGGGGCUCAGGCUCCGGCCACACAUUGUCCCCAAAUUUAUCAUUCCCUGUUCAUGCAGCUGCAAUAAGAUUUCUAAAGUUCACAGGGCUGGGACACAACUGCACACCCUGAGCUGGCUGAAGGGAUUUAAUGUAUGUUUGUUUGGGUUUUUAAUGUCCAUACUCUCAUCUUAUUACUCACAGCCACGCUUGGGUACAUUUUAAUUAGUUUGUUACUUUUUAUCUCGAAAUACCUGACUGAAAGAAUAAAAAUGUCUCAAAACAUACCGAAGCUUUUCAAAGUCCCCAAUGAUUAAACUCCAUGCUGCUCCAGAAUUUUAUCAGAAUUUUAUGCUCAGGAAUUCUAUUGUGGUUAUAUUUCUUUAGAUUCAUAGUUGCUUUCUGAUCUGAUUAAUUCCCUUUCUUUCUUUCUGAACACUCAGGGAAUUGUUGCAUGUCCAGAUGCUCUGGAUUCCUCCUGACAUCCAGUGCUUUAUUUUGGUCCCUGCCAUCUAUUAGAGCAGAAGAGCUGAGAAA
This 1487-nucleotide long non-coding RNA is filed under the name Taeniopygia guttata (zebra finch). RNAcentral's name for it is "lncRNA (ENSTGUG00000025262.1)". The record is from RNAcentral. Lineage: Eukaryota; Metazoa; Chordata; Aves; Passeriformes; Estrildidae.